ACUGCCUUUUUUGAGUGGCAAUGGAGCUGGGCAUAUUCAAAAGGAGGAGAAGAAGGUUCUCUGGAGAUUUUUGCUGUUCUAUGGACCCUCACACUGUUGUAAGAACAGAUCUGCCUGGUAUCUGAUGGAGAAAUCAUGCAAAUCCAGCAUUCCAAUUGGAGUUAACAGCUAGCAGAUGACACAAAGACACUUGUCUUCUAGAGUCCCUCUGGUGGCACAGGACUAGCCUGAAACCAUUCCUGAGUUCUGGAACACUACAAUCCACUGACAAAACUUGAUGGGUUACAGGCAACAGCUGAGAUCGAGGCAAAGGACUGUUUUUUUCCACAGGUGCACUUAGGCGAGGCUGAGGAAGUCUGGCUUGUGGAGGCAUUGGAAGCACAUCCUGGAUUAGUGGGCUGAGAGCACCAAGCAAUCAUUCCAGAGUGUGGGAUGGCAGGAGUUGGGAGCGCUGUGGCUGAUAGUGCCAGUUAAUGACAGUUAAGUGGGGAGGAGGCACAUUCGGCAAGGAGCUGCCCAAAGACUAUGUCAUUAGAGCUGCUCUCAAGUGUUGUCCGUGCAUCAGGGGAUUGUAGGCAUUCCGACAGCAGCUAUUCCAGUCCUAAAGUGGUAUCAGCAAGCCUCUGCUGGAGACAGAACUUCGUCGUGAUAUAACCGGAGCCAGAAGUUCGGCACCAUGCAGCCGCUCACCCACCCCACCUCCCGGUGGAAUGGGAAGGAGAAUCAAAAGUAAAAUUCAUAGGCUGAGCUUUCUACUCCUGAAAUGGCUUGUGGAAGUUACAAAUCCCCUGUAAACACCAGCGUGAAAGCUGAGUGCCUGCAAGCAAAGUAUCUUCUGUCUGCUCUGAGACACAGGGCAAGCACAAAAGCUAAAGACAACAGGGGGAAAUUGAAGAGAGCAAGGAGCCACGAAAACCUUUACGUGGUAGAUUUUAAAUCCUUCGCUGCAAUCUGUUUCCACAGCAGUGCGUGCAGCUCCAGACAUCUCUGAGCAAUGUGGCCACUCCUUUGUGUGCGGGCACAUGGUGGGAGCUCUCUGCUGCCAGCCUCUGCCCCGAGAUAGAAAUGCAGUUGCUCAACAGCCUAACUGCACAAAUCCCAGGAAUCACACAUUCACAGAUCAUAUUCCCCACUUUUUCCAGGAUAAUCUGCUUGUCCUGUCAUGUGGUUGAGGAAGGUGCUGGUUCUGAUCCACUUUGUGGGGGUUUCUACUCUUGAAGUAGCUGUGCCAGCUGCUUGUGAUAUUUUCAGUGGCUACAACACUGAUUUUGGAAGGUUUAGACCAGAAGGAAAGUAACAUCUGUAUUCCACAGGAAAGCAACAGCAACUGAAAGAAUCUGUGAAGGUUUAAAGAAGUGUGAACCAAGGUGAUGCUGCUUUAGAACAGAAAAUACCUUCUACUUAAGUAGGAGCAUUUUUAUUGAGGCAGUGUCCAUACACUUCAUACAGUGUAAUCAUAAGAGAUACAUGCAUUACUCUGCAGGAAGAAAUACUCUGGAGUUUGAGUGACACCCUGGUGAAAGAACCAGCAAUAGGUGAAUAUUUAUACAGAGAUUUCUCCUCCUCACAAAAGGCCUACUGGAAAGCCUGGAUAUCCAGAAUACGGCAAAAGCAGAAAUAAGGCAGUCUUGGGCUUGAAAAAACUGAAGAAAGACAUCUCCAAAAAGAAUAGACAAAAAUGAAACUAAAUGCUGAUUUGUAAUCCUGUCUUCUGUGACGUUUUCCUCCCUCCUACUGCUUCCAGCAUAAGCAGAGCUCUCUUGACACCUUGCAGAAACUUAGGAGCACCUGGCUGGCUCUCAAGGACUACUGCAUGAAUGUAUAAACAGAUUUUGCAGGGAGAGAGAGAGCAAAAGGAGUGGGGGAAGGAAAAAAAAGCAUCUGAAAGGUAAACCUUC
Long non-coding RNA from Passer domesticus (house sparrow), 1898 nucleotides. RefSeq lists it as uncharacterized. The transcript is spliced from 5 exons. NCBI's taxonomy places the organism in Eukaryota, Metazoa, Chordata, Aves, Passeriformes, Passeridae. The record is from RefSeq and is a predicted model, not a curated record.